UAAAUGGCCGCAGUAUUUUGACUGUGCAAAGGUARCAUAAUUAUUAGUUUUUUAAUUGAAAGCUUGUAUGAAGGGUUGGACGAGAUGAAAUCUGUCUUUAUUUAAAUUAAAAUAUAAUUUAACUUUUAAGUAAAAAGGCUUAAAUGUUUAUAAAAGACGAGAAGACCCUAUAGAUCUUUAUUUAAUUAAAAUUUUAAUAAUUUAGGAUUAUUUUAAUUUAAAGUUUUAAUUAAAUUUUAUUGGGGUAAUAUAAAGAUUAAAUAAAUUCUUUUUAUUUAUAACAUUGAUUUAUGAAUAUAUGAUCCAUUAAUAUUGAUUAUAAGAUUAAGUUACCUUAGGGAUAACAGCGUAAUUUUUUUGGARAGCYCAUAUCGAUAAAAAAGUUUGCGACCUCGAUGUUGGAUUAAAAAUUAGCUUGGGUGCAGAAGCUCAAGAUUUUGGUCUGUUCGACCAUUAAAUUUUUACAUGAUCUGAGUUCAGACCGGCGUGAGCCAGGUCGGUUUCUAUCUUUAUUAAGAUAAAAUGUUUUAGUACGAAAGGACCAAAUAUUUAAUAUAAUUAUAUUUAUUUUUUGAAGAAUAUU
Molecule: ribosomal RNA, 583 nt
Filed under: Cicindela (Rivacindela) sp. JP-37
Lineage: Eukaryota; Metazoa; Arthropoda; Insecta; Coleoptera; Carabidae
Description: partial 16S ribosomal RNA
Rfam family: Bacterial large subunit ribosomal RNA
Source: RNAcentral